AAGGAUAUAGCUCAAGUGGUAGAGCACAUGCUAGCAUGCACAAGGUCCUGGGUUCAAUCCCCAGUAUCUCCU
RNAcentral lists this transfer RNA (72 nucleotides) under Camelus bactrianus (Bactrian camel). It matches the Rfam family "tRNA". From Rfam's summary of the family: Transfer RNA (tRNA) molecules are approximately 80 nucleotides in length. Their secondary structure includes four short double-helical elements and three loops (D, anti-codon, and T loops). Further hydrogen bonds mediate the characteristic L-shaped molecular structure. tRNAs have two regions of fundamental functional importance: the anti-codon, which is responsible for specific mRNA codon recognition, and the 3' end, to which the tRNAs corresponding amino acid is attached (by aminoacyl-tRNA synthetases). tRNAs cope with the degeneracy of the genetic code in two manners: having more than one tRNA (with a specific anti-codon) for a particular amino acid; and 'wobble' base-pairing, i.e. permitting non-standard base-pairing at the 3rd anti-codon position. RNAcentral also lists the same sequence under 2 other names. Lineage: Eukaryota; Metazoa; Chordata; Mammalia; Artiodactyla; Camelidae. The record is from Rfam by way of RNAcentral.